This 253-nucleotide ribosomal RNA is filed under the name uncultured bacterium. RNAcentral describes it as "partial 16S ribosomal RNA". It matches the Rfam family "Bacterial small subunit ribosomal RNA", at positions 524 to 776 of the family's 1533-position model. The record is from RNAcentral.
UACGAAGGGGGCUAGCGUUGCUCGGAAUCACUGGGCGUAAAGCGCACGUAGGCGGAUCGUUAAGUCAGGGGUGAAAUCCUGGAGCUCAACUCCAGAACUGCCCUUGAUACUGGCGACCUUGAGUUCGGGAGAGGUGAGUGGAACUGCGAGUGUAGAGGUGAAAUUCGUAGAUAUUCGCAAGAACACCAGUGGCGAAGGCGGCUCACUGGCCCGAUACUGACGCUGAUGCACGAAAGCGUGGGGAGCAAACAGG